GGCGGACCGGUGAGUAAAGCCUAGGAAUCUGCCUGGUAGUGGGGGAUAACGCUCGGAAACGGACGCUAAUACCGCAUACGUCCUACGGGAGAAAGCAGGGGACCUUCGGGCCUUGCGCUAUCAGAUGAGCCUAGGUCGGAUUAGCUAGUUGGUGAGGUAAUGGCUCACCAAGGCGACGAUCCGUAACUGGUCUGAGAGGAUGAUCAGUCACACUGGAACUGAGACACGGUCCAGACUCCUACGGGAGGCAGCAGUGGGGAAUAUUGGACAAUGGGCGAAAGCCUGAUCCAGCCAUGCCGCGUGUGUGAAGAAGGUCUUCGGAUUGUAAAGCACUUUAAGUUGGGAGGAAGGGCAUUAACCUAAUACGUUAGUGUUUUGACGUUACCGACAGAAUAAGCACCGGCUAACUCUGUGCCAGCAGCCGCGGUAAUACAGAGGGUGCAAGCGUUAAUCGGAAUUACUGGGCGUAAAGCGCGCGUAGGUGGUUCGUUAAGUUGGAUGUGAAAUCCCCGGGCUCAACCUGGGAACUGCAUUCAAAACUGUCGAGCUAGAGUAUGGUAGAGGGUGGUGGAAUUUCCUGUGUAGCGGUGAAAUGCGUAGAUAUAGGAAGGAACACGAGUGGCGAAAGGCGACCACCCUGGACUGAUACUUGACACUG
Molecule: ribosomal RNA, 658 nt
Filed under: Pseudomonas brassicacearum
Lineage: Bacteria; Pseudomonadati; Pseudomonadota; Gammaproteobacteria; Pseudomonadales; Pseudomonadaceae
Description: bacterial SSU rRNA
Rfam family: Bacterial small subunit ribosomal RNA
Source: RNAcentral